RNAcentral lists this ribosomal RNA (778 nucleotides) under uncultured Glomus. RNAcentral's name for it is "SSU rRNA". It matches the Rfam family "Eukaryotic small subunit ribosomal RNA", at positions 325 to 1104 of the family's 1831-position model. The record is from RNAcentral. Lineage: Eukaryota; Fungi; Glomeromycota; Glomeromycetes; Glomerales; Glomeraceae.
AUGGUAGGAUAGAGGCCUACCAUGGUGGUAACGGGUAACGGGGUGUUAGGGCACGACACCGGAGAGGGAGCCUGAGAAACGGCUACCACAUCCAAGGAAGGCAGCAGGCGCGCAAAUUACCCAAUCCCGACACGGGGAGGUAGUGACAAUAAAUAACAAUACAGGGUUCUUUGAAUCUUGUAAUUGGAAUGAGUACAAUUUAAAUCUCUUAACGAGGAACAAUUGGAGGGCAAGUCUGGUGCCAGCAGCCGCGGUAAUUCCAGCUCCAAUAGCGUAUAUUAAAGUUGUUGCAGUUAAAAAGCUCGUAGUUGAAUUUCGGGAUCAAUACGUCGGUCGUGCUUUCGGGUACGUACUGGCGUCAUUGGUUUCUCCUUUCUGACGAACCAUGAUGUCAUUAAUUUGGUGUUAUGGGGAGUUAGGACUGUUACUUUGAAAAAAUUAGAGUGUUUAAAGCAGGCAUUAGCUUGAAUACAUUAGCAUGGAAUAAUGAAAUAGGACGUUCGAUCCUAUUUUGUUGGUUUCUAGGAUCAACGUAAUGAUUAAUAGGGAUAGUUGGGGGCAUUAGUAUUCAAUUGUCAGAGGUGAAAUUCUUGGAUUUAUUGAAGACUAACUACUGCGAAAGCAUUUGCCAAGGAUGUUUUCAUUAAUCAAGAACGAAAGUUAGGGGAUCGAAGACGAUCAGAUACCGUCGUAGUCUUAACCAUAAACUAUGCCGACUAGGGAUCGGAUGAUGUUAAUUUUUUAAUGACUCAUUCGGCGCCUUACGGGAAACCAAAGU